Molecule: ribosomal RNA, 1350 nt
Filed under: uncultured bacterium
Lineage: Bacteria
Description: bacterial SSU rRNA
Rfam family: Bacterial small subunit ribosomal RNA
Source: RNAcentral
GGCCUAACACAUGCAAGUCUAGCGGUAGAGAGGAGCUUGCUUCUCUUGAGAGCGGCGGACGGGUGAGUAAUGCCUAGGAAUCUGCCUAGUGGUGGGGGAUAACGUUCGGAAACGGACGCUAAUACCGCAUACGUCCUACGGGAGAAAGCGGGGGACCUUCGGGCCUCGCGCCAUUAGAUGAGCCUAGGUCGGAUUAGCUAGUUGGUGAGGUAAAGGCUCACCAAGGCGACGAUCCGUAACUGGUCUGAGAGGAUGAUCAGUCACACUGGAACUGAGACACGGUCCAGACUCCUACGGGAGGCAGCAGUGGGGAAUAUUGGACAAUGGGCGAAAGCCUGAUCCAGCCAUGCCGCGUGUGUGAAGAAGGUCUUCGGAUUGUAAAGCACUUUAAGUUGGGAGGAAGGGCAGUAACUUAAUACGUUGCUGCUUUGACGUUACCGACAGAAUAAGCACCGGCUAACUUCGUGCCAGCAGCCGCGGUAAUACGAAGGGUGCAAGCGUUAAUCGGAAUUACUGGGCGUAAAGCGCGCGUAGGUGGUUCAGUAAGUUGGAAGUGAAAUCCCCGGGCUCAACCUGGGAACUGCUUUCAAAACUGCUGAGCUAGAGUACGGUAGAGGGUGGUGGAAUUUCCUGUGUAGCGGUGAAAUGCGUAGAUAUAGGAAGGAACACCAGUGGCGAAGGCGACCACCUGGACUGAUACUGACACUGAGGUGCGAAAGCGCGGGGAGCAAACAGGAUUAGAUACCCUGGUAGUCCACGCCGUAAACGAUGUCAACUAGCCGUUGGGAGUCUUGAACUCUUAGUGGCGCAGCUAACGCAUUAAGUUGACCGCCUGGGGAGUACGGCCGCAAGGUUAAAACUCAAAUGAAUUGACGGGGGCCCGCACAAGCGGUGGAGCAUGUGGUUUAAUUCGAAGCAACGCGAAGAACCUUACCAGGCCUUGACAUGCAGAGAACUUUCCAGAGAUGGAUUGGUGCCUUCGGGAACUCUGACACAGGUGCUGCAUGGCUGUCGUCAGCUCGUGUCGUGAGAUGUUGGGUUAAGUCCCGUAACGAGCGCAACCCUUGUCCUUAGUUACCAGCACGUAAUGGUGGGAACUCUAAGGAGACUGCCGGUGACAAACCGGAGGAAGGUGGGGAUGACGUCAAGUCAUCAUGGCCCUUACGGCCUGGGCUACACACGUGCUACAAUGGUCGGUACAAAGGGUUGCCAAGCCGCGAGGUGGAGCUAAUCCCAUAAAACCGAUCGUAGUCCGGAUCGCAGUCUGCAACUCGACUGCGUGAAGUCGGAAUCGCUAGUAAUCGUGAAUCAGAAUGUCACGGUGAAUACGUUCCCGGGCCUUGUACACAC